RNAcentral lists this ribosomal RNA (776 nucleotides) under Triticum dicoccoides. Its description in RNAcentral is "bacterial SSU rRNA". It matches the Rfam family "Bacterial small subunit ribosomal RNA", at positions 700 to 1476 of the family's 1533-position model. Lineage: Eukaryota; Viridiplantae; Streptophyta; Magnoliopsida; Poales; Poaceae. The record is from RNAcentral.
GAAAGAACACCAACAGCGAAAGCACUCUGCUAGGACGACACUGACACUGAGAGACGAAAGCUAGGGGAGCAAAUCGGAUUAGAGACCCCCGUAGUCCUAGCCAUAAACGAUGGAUACUAGGUCCUGUGCGACUCGACCCGUGCAGUGAUUUAGCUAAUGCGUUAAGUAUCCCGCCUGGGGAGUACGUUCGCAAGAAUGAAACUCAAAGGAAUUGACAGGGGCCCGCACAAGCGGUGGAGCAUGUGGUUUAAUUCGAUGCAAAGCAAAGAACCUUACCAGGGCUUGACACGCCGCGAAUCCUCUUGAAAGAGAGGGGUGGCCUCGGGAACGCGGACAAAGGUGGUGCAUGGCUGGCGUCAUCUCAUGCCGUAAGGUGUUGGGUUAAGUCUUUCAACGAGCGCAACCCUCGUGUUUAGUGCCACUAUGAGUUUCGAACCCUGAACAGACCACCGGUGUUAAGCUGGAGGAAGGAGAGGAUGAGGCCAAGUCAUCAAGCCCCUUAUGCCCUGGGCGACACACGUGCUACAACGGGCAGGACAAAGGGUCACGAUCUCGCGGGGGUGAGCUAACUCCAAAAACCCGUCCUCAGUACGGAUUGCAGGCUGCAACUCGCCUGCAUGAAGCAGGAAUUGCUAGUAAUCGCUGGUCAGCCAUACGGCGGUGAAUCCAUUCCCGGGCCUUGUACACAUCGCCCGUCGCACUAUAAGAGCUGGCCAUGUUUGAAGUCAUUACCCUUAACUGUAAGGAGGGGGAUGCCUAAGGCUAGGCUUGCGACU